Molecule: long non-coding RNA, 1175 nt
Organism: Fukomys damarensis (Damara mole-rat)
Lineage: Eukaryota; Metazoa; Chordata; Mammalia; Rodentia; Bathyergidae
Exons: 3
Source: RefSeq, a predicted model, not a curated record
CUGGCAGGACCCGGACGUCGCGGCUCGCGACAGUUGAUGAAGAAUAUUUUUUAGCAGAACUAUGCUUGUUACAAGGUGUGAUGAGAAUAUAUGGUGAAUGUUUAAAUUCUUAAAAAAUUAUUAUAGUAGAAGGCACACUGACAUUAGUACUCCCCUGGCUGCACCCUUAUCCUGUCACUCUUGCCGCCACCUACAGCAGUCCCGGAAGUCGUCGUCUUUCAUGAGUGUCUUUCAAGUUGCGAUUAAAAAAAAAAAAAAGAAAAAAAAUACAGCGAACGCUUCUUCUGGGUGCCAUCCAAAGGAAAGGCAAGUUUAUACAAACUUUAUCGUGCACCUUUGUCCACCUCAUUCGCUGGAUCUGGCACCAAGUGACUUCUGGCUCUUCUUCAAAGUCAAAAUCCCAAUGAAAGGUAAACGUUUCGAACUGAUUCAGAAUAUCGAGGCAGCCACGAGAGCGUAACUAAAGACAGUCACGGGAAUGCCCAGAACUGCUUCAGAAAGUGGCAAGAAAGAUUGGGUUUGUGGUGGACACUGAUAUGCUUUAUUGUAUGGCGUGCACUCUGAGGAAAAUCAGCAGCCGUGUUCUCAGCUGCUCUGUGGAAAGGCUUACAGGACAAGAAACCAAGGGAAUUCUUCAACCAACAGCCUAUAAAGCACCAAGUCCUACCAACAGCCGUGUGAGGGAGCUUGGAAGAGGAUCUUACACCAGCUUCUACUAUGGCUUGGUUCGUUUCCCAAAGCUACAUGUUCCAGAAGCUUGGUGACAGGACGGCACUGUUGAGUGGGAGAAGCUCUAAGAGGUAAGGCUCAAUGUAAUUAGAUCACUCGGGGGUACUGCCCUGGAAGGGAUUAAGGUAGAUCUUGCAGGACCCUGGUUUGUUCCCACAAGAUCAGGUUGUUAUAGAAAGUCAUGGGUUAUAGGAUGGGCACAUGAAGUCAGCUGGCUCAUAAAGGCCCCAUCGCUGGACCGUGGAGCUAUCUGGAAAGUAGCUUUGUAGACCUUGACAGGAGCUGGAUUAUUCUAGAGACAGGAAGAGGCCUGGGAGAAUGGAGUUCAUAAGUUAAUACUAAUCGAAGUGAAGUAAUGACGGGGCCAGAGAGGCACAAGUUAGGGUAAGCAUCUCGUUCUGAGCACUUAAAACCAAGUGGGUGAGCUGGGCAUGGUGGUGCACACC